This 1593-nucleotide ribosomal RNA is filed under the name Staphylococcus pseudintermedius. Its description in RNAcentral is "partial 23S ribosomal RNA". It matches the Rfam family "Bacterial large subunit ribosomal RNA", at positions 380 to 1978 of the family's 2925-position model. The record is from RNAcentral. Lineage: Bacteria; Bacillati; Bacillota; Bacilli; Caryophanales; Staphylococcaceae.
CGAAAACGAAUUCUCUCUUGAGUGGAUCCUGAGUACGACGGAGCACGUGAAAUUCCGUCGGAAUCUGGGAGGACCAUCUCCUAAGGCUAAAUACUCUCUAGUGACCGAUAGUGAACCAGUACCGUGAGGGAAAGGUGAAAAGUACCCCGGAAGGGGAGUGAAAGAGAACUUGAAACCGUGUGCUUACAAGUAGUCAGAGCCCGUUAAUGGGUGAUGGCGUGCCUUUUGUAGAAUGAACCGGCGAGUUACGAUCUGAUGCAAGGUUAAGCAGAAAAUGUGGAGCCGUAGCGAAAGCGAGUCUGAAUAGGGCGAAUGAGUAUUUGGUCGUAGACCCGAAACCAGGUGAUCUACCCUUGGUCAGGUUGAAGUUCAGGUAACACUGAAUGGAGGACCGAACCGACUUACGUUGAAAAGUGAGCGGAUGAACUGAGGGUAGCGGAGAAAUUCCAAUCGAACUUGGAGAUAGCUGGUUCUCUCCGAAAUAGCUUUAGGGCUAGCCUCAAGUGAUGAUUAUUGGAGGUAGAGCACUGUUUGGACGAGGGGCCCCUCUCGGGUUACCGAAUUCAGACAAACUCCGAAUGCCAAAUAAUUUAACUUGGGAGUCAGAAUGUGGGUGAUAAGGUCCAUAUUCGAAAGGGAAACAGCCCAGACCACCAGCUAAGGUCCCAAAAUAUAUGUUAAGUGGAAAAGGAUGUGGCGUUGCCCAGACAACUAGGAUGUUGGCUUAGAAGCAGCCAUCAUUUAAAGAGUGCGUAAUAGCUCACUAGUCGAGUGACACUGCGCCGAAAAUGUACCGGGGCUAAACAUAUUACCGAAGCUGUGGAUUGUCCUUUGGACAAUGGUAGGAGAGCGUUCUAAGGGCGUUGAAGCAUGAUCGCAAGGACAUGUGGAGCGCUUAGAAGUGAGAAUGCCGGUGUGAGUAGCGAAAGACGGGUGAGAAUCCCGUCCACCGAUUGACUAAGGUUUCCAGAGGAAGGCUCGUCCGCUCUGGGUUAGUCGGGUCCUAAGCUGAGGCCGACAGGCGUAGGCGAUGGAUAACAGGUUGAUAUUCCUGUACCACCAUUAUUCGUUUUAAGCGAUGGGGGGACGCAGUAGGAUAGGCGAAGCGUGCUGUUGGAGUGCACGUCCAAGCAGUGAGAUUGAGUGUUAGGCAAAUCCGGCACUCUUAAGAUUGAGCUGUGAUGGGGAGAGGAACUUGUUCCUCGAGUCGUUGAUUUCACACUGCCGAGAAAAGCCUCUAGCUAGAAUAACGGUGCCCGUACCGCAAACCGACACAGGUAGUCAAGAUGAGAAUUCUAAGGUGAGCGAGCGAACUCUCGUUAAGGAACUCGGCAAAAUGACCCCGUAACUUCGGGAGAAGGGGUGCUCUUUGAGGUUCACGCUUCGAAGAGCCGCAGUGAAUAGGCCCAAGCGACUGUUUAUCAAAAACACAGGUCUCUGCUAAACCGUAAGGUGACGUAUAGGGGCUGACGCCUGCCCGGUGCUGGAAGGUUAAGAGGAGUGGUUAGCGCAAGCGAAGCUACGAAUCGAAGCCCCAGUAAACGGCGGCCGUAACUAUAACGGUCCUAAGGUAGCGAAAUUCCUUGUCGGGUA